CCUACGGGAGGCAGCAGUGAGGAAUAUUGGUCAAUGGGCGGGAGCCUGAACCAGCCAAGUCGCGUGAGGGAUGACGGUCCUACGGAUUGUAAACCUCUUUAGGCGGGGAGCAAUUCCGUGCACGCGUGCGCGGAGGGAGAGUACCCGCAGAAUAAGCAUCGGCUAACUCCGUGCCAGCAGCCGCGGUAAUACGGAGGAUGCGAGCGUUAUCCGGAUUUAUUGGGUUUAAAGGGUGCGUAGGCGGAAUUUUAAGUCAGCGGUAAAAAGUCCGGGCUCAACCCGGGCGGGCCGUUGAAACUGGUGUUCUUGAGUGGGCGAGAAGUAUGCGGAAUGCGUGGUGUAGCGGUGAAAUGCAUAGAUAUCACGCAGAACUCCGAUUGCGAAGGCAGCAUACCGGCGCCCGACUGACGCUGAGGCACGAAAGCGUGGGGAUCGAACAGGAUUAGAUACCCGAGUAGUC
RNAcentral lists this ribosomal RNA (460 nucleotides) under uncultured bacterium. RNAcentral's name for it is "partial 16S ribosomal RNA". It matches the Rfam family "Bacterial small subunit ribosomal RNA", at positions 338 to 795 of the family's 1533-position model. The record is from RNAcentral.